UACGUAGGAGGCAAGCGUUGUCCGGAAUCACUGGGCGUAAAGAGCGUGUAGGCGGUCUGCCAAGUCCGCUGUGAAAGUCCAGGGCUCAACCCUGGAAUGCCGGUGGAAACUGUCAAGCUUGAGUCCGGAAGAGGCGAGUGGAAUUCCUGGUGUAGCGGUGAAAUGCGCAGAUAUCAGGAGGAACACCAAUGGCGAAGGCAGCUCGCUGGGACGGUACUGACGCUGAGACGCGAAAGCGUGGGGAGCAAACAGG
This 253-nucleotide ribosomal RNA is filed under the name uncultured bacterium. RNAcentral's name for it is "partial 16S ribosomal RNA". It matches the Rfam family "Bacterial small subunit ribosomal RNA", at positions 524 to 776 of the family's 1533-position model. The record is from RNAcentral.